GCGCCCGUAGCUCAGCUGGAUAGAGUACCUGGCUACGAACCAGGCGGUCGGAGGUUCGAAUCCUUCCGGGCGCGCCA
RNAcentral lists this transfer RNA (77 nucleotides) under Piscirickettsia salmonis. RNAcentral describes it as "tRNA-Arg". It matches the Rfam family "tRNA". Rfam says of the family: Transfer RNA (tRNA) molecules are approximately 80 nucleotides in length. Their secondary structure includes four short double-helical elements and three loops (D, anti-codon, and T loops). Further hydrogen bonds mediate the characteristic L-shaped molecular structure. tRNAs have two regions of fundamental functional importance: the anti-codon, which is responsible for specific mRNA codon recognition, and the 3' end, to which the tRNAs corresponding amino acid is attached (by aminoacyl-tRNA synthetases). tRNAs cope with the degeneracy of the genetic code in two manners: having more than one tRNA (with a specific anti-codon) for a particular amino acid; and 'wobble' base-pairing, i.e. permitting non-standard base-pairing at the 3rd anti-codon position. Lineage: Bacteria; Pseudomonadati; Pseudomonadota; Gammaproteobacteria; Thiotrichales; Piscirickettsiaceae. RNAcentral also lists the same sequence under 72 other names. The record is from RNAcentral.